UUAUCCCCUUUUUCUAGAUCUUCUUAUCAUCCUUUGUCUAUAUCAUGACUCCCAAGAUGUCAUAAUACAACAUAAAGAAAAAAAGAUGAUGAAUAUAUGGGAAAAUAAAAUUAUGACAUCUCUUCUUAGAAAUUAUGAUAUUCCUUCACAAAAAUUAUGAUACUCCUAUAGAAAAUACUAAACUGAAGUUGUUAACUCUCCUUCUAGAUCUUCUUAUCAUUCUUUGCCUAUAUCAUGACUCCCAGAAUGUCAUAAUACAGCAUAGAGAAAAAAAAAUGAUAAAUAUAUGUAGAAACAGAAGACACUCCUUUUUAGAAUUUAUGACAUCUAUUCAUAAAAAUUAUGAUAUAUCUACUGAAAGUGCUAAACUGAAGUUGUUAACCCUUCCUUCUAGAUCUUUCUAUCAUUCUUUACCUAUAUCAUGACUCUCAGGAUGUCAUAAUAUGGUAUGGAUUAAAAAAAUGAUGAAUAUAUGGAGAAACAAAAUUAUGACAUCUCUUCUUAAAAAUUAUGAUAUUUCUUCAUAGAAAUUAUGACAUCCCUACAGAAAGUGCUAAACUAAAGUUGUUAACCCCUUAUUUCAAGUCUUUCUAUCAUCUCUUGCCUAUAUCAUGACUCUUAUGAUAUCAUAAUAUGAGUGGAGGAAAGAAGAUGAUGAAUAUAUGAGAAAACAGAAUUAUGACAUCUCUUCUUAAAAAUUAUGA
RNAcentral lists this long non-coding RNA (704 nucleotides) under Elaeis guineensis (African oil palm). RNAcentral's name for it is "long non-coding RNA (EGUI_LNC080959)". Lineage: Eukaryota; Viridiplantae; Streptophyta; Magnoliopsida; Arecales; Arecaceae. The record is from RNAcentral.